Molecule: ribosomal RNA, 510 nt
Filed under: Macropharyngodon cyanoguttatus
Lineage: Eukaryota; Metazoa; Chordata; Actinopteri; Labriformes; Labridae
Description: partial 12S ribosomal RNA
Rfam family: Bacterial small subunit ribosomal RNA
Source: RNAcentral
ACCCCACUAUGCCUAGCCCUAAACAUUGAUACUAACCUACUUAUUUUUAUCCGCCAGGGUACUACGAGCAUCAGCUUAAAACCCAAAGGACUUGGCGGUGCUUUAGAUCCACCUAGAGGAGCCUGUUCUAGAACCGAUAAUCCCCGUUAAACCUCACCUUUUCUUGCCAUGUCCGCCUAUAUACCGCCGUCGUCAGCUUACUCUGUGAGGAACUUGUCGUAAGCACAACCGGCAAAGCCCAAAACGUCAGGUCGAGGUGUAGCGAAUGGAAAGGGAAGAAAUGGGCUACAUUCAAUAGUUAUAAUGAAUACGAAUGAUGUCUUGAAACAGACAUCUGAAGGAGGAUUUAGCAGUAAGCAGAGAAUAGAGCGCCCUGCUGAAAUUGGCCCUGAAGCGCGUACACACCGGCCGUCACUCUUCCCGAGCUAAUAAAGACAAAUUACUAAUAAACAAAACCUGCAAAGGGGAGGCAAGUCGUAACAUGGUAAGCGUACCGGAAGGUGCGCUUGG